CUUGUUUCUUAUCUCUAUCCGCGUGGUUUCCCCCCACAGCUAACACUUGAAGGAACUUUAUAUCACUCUUCUCUCUCUCUCUCUCUCACACACACACACACAUAUAUAUAUAUAUGCAUAUAUAGCUCUUCUUUAGUUGUAGUGUUCAUAUCUCUUACAUAUGAAGAUUCGUGUUGGUUUGAGAGGCUGAAGCUGCCAGCAUGAUCUGCUUCAUUCACUCAAUUACCAACAAAGGCAAAGACAAAGAAAAACAAGACAAUACUUACGAGGUAAUCAAUGACAUUGUCGCGUUGACUUUUAUUGCGAAGGUAACGAUUUUCCUCUUGUUUUUUUUUUUUGGUUGAAUGUAUGGUGUUCUUAGUUUUUCUUCAUAAUCACAUGCACAUAUAAAAUAGAUAGUUUCGUGUUUAUAUUCAUACCUCGUUUACGUGUAUAUAUAUAUAUAUAUAUAUAUGAUAUGCACUUAUAUAUAUUGACAUAUGUAUAGAGAAACUAUGUACAAAUGCCCAUGUCUUGUGUGGCACGUGCGACAUAUAUGCUUGCAUGUGCAUUUGCGUUUCUUUUCAUAAAUAUACACAGUUGACAUAGGAAAGAUUUGGGACGAAGAGAUGCAACACAAAACUGAAGAAUUUGUAACCCACUGUCUCGACCAGAGUCUCUGCUGCGCUCUUCUCGCUUCUAGACCCUUGGUCUUUUGAAGAGUAUUUGACUCACGCACACAAUUAUCUCCACGUGUGCGUGUUUGUGUAAAAUCAGGAAUAAAUCUAGAAAAAUAAAUUAAUGAAAAUACUAUUUAGUAUUUAUUGUUAUCGUUUGCAUAGAAACAUAUAAGAAUUAAUAUUCUCAGCAUUUUAAUUAAUAAUUAUUCAACAUCCUGUAUUCAAUUACAAUUAUUAAAAUGCCCUAUUUUUA
Long non-coding RNA from Tarenaya hassleriana, 912 nucleotides. RefSeq lists it as uncharacterized. The record is from RefSeq and is a predicted model, not a curated record. The transcript has 2 exons. NCBI's taxonomy places the organism in Eukaryota, Viridiplantae, Streptophyta, Magnoliopsida, Brassicales, Cleomaceae.